UACGGAGGAUGCGAGCGUUAUCCGGAUUCAUUGGGUUUAAAGGGUGCGUAGGCGGCCCGGUAAGUCAGCGGUGAAAGUUUGCGGCUCAACCGUAAAAUUGCCGUUGAUACUGUCGGGCUUGAGUUCAGAUGAAGUGGGCGGAAUGAGUAGUGUAGCGGUGAAAUGCUUAGAUAUUACUCAGAACACCGAUUGCGAAGGCAGCCCACUAAACUGCGACUGACGCUGAUGCACGAAAGCGUGGGGAUCGAAC
This 250-nucleotide ribosomal RNA is filed under the name uncultured bacterium. RNAcentral's name for it is "partial 16S ribosomal RNA". It matches the Rfam family "Bacterial small subunit ribosomal RNA", at positions 524 to 773 of the family's 1533-position model. The record is from RNAcentral.